RNAcentral lists this ribosomal RNA (325 nucleotides) under uncultured eukaryote. Its description in RNAcentral is "partial 18S ribosomal RNA". It matches the Rfam family "Eukaryotic small subunit ribosomal RNA", at positions 1470 to 1796 of the family's 1831-position model. The record is from RNAcentral.
CCCUUAGAUGUUCUGGGCUGCACGCGCGCUACACUGAUGCGCUCAACGAGUUUUAACCUUGCCUGGAAAGGUUGGGUAAUCUUUUUAAAACGCAUCGUGAUGGGGAUAGAUUAUUGCAAUUAUUAAUCUUCAACGAGGAAUUCCUAGUAAGCGCGAGCCAUCAGCUCGUGCUGAUUACGUCCCUGCCCUUUGUACACACCGCCCGUCGCUCCUACCGAUUGAGCGAUCCGGUGAAUAAUUCGGACUGCGGCAUUGACCGGUUCCCGAUCGUUGCUGCGGAAAGUUUAGUGAACCUUAUCACUUAGAGGAAGGAGAAGUCGUAACA